UGAGGCGUGAUGACGAGGCACCACGGUGCUGAAGCAACAAAUGCCCUGCUUCCAGGAAAAGCCUCUAAGCAUCAGGUAACAUCAAAUCGUACCCCAAACCGACACAGGUGGUCAGGUAGAGAAUACCAAGGCGCUUGAGAGAACUCGGGUGAAGGAACUAGGCAAAAUGGUGCCGUAACUUCGGGAGAAGGCACGCUGACACGUAGGUGAAGUGAUUUACUCACGGAGCUGAAGUCAGUCGAAGAUACCAGCUGGCUGCAACUGUUUAUUAAAAACACAGCACUGUGCAAACACGAAAGUGGACGUAUACGGUGUGACGCCUGCCCGGUGCCGGAAGGUUAAUUGAUGGGGUCAGCGCAAGCGAAGCUCCUGAUCGAAGCCCCGGUAAACGGCGGCCGUAACUAUAACGGUCCUAAGGUAGCGAAAUUCCUUGUCGGGUAAGUUCCGACCUGCACGAAUGGCGUAAUGAUGGCCAGGCUGUCUCCACCCGAGACUCAGUGAAAUUGAACUCGCUGUGAAGAUGCAGUGUACCCGCGGCAAGACGGAAAGACCCCGUGAACCUUUACUAUAGCUUGACACUGAACAUUGAGCCUUGAUGUGUAGGAUAGGUGGGAGGCUUUGAAGCGUGGACGCCAGUCUGCGUGGAGCCGACCUUGAAAUACCACCCUUUAAUGUUUGAUGUUCUAACGUGGACCCGUAAUCCGGGUUGCGGACAGUGUCUGGUGGGUAGUUUGACUGGGGCGGUCUCCUCCUAAAGAGUAACGGAGGAGCACGAAGGUUGGCUAAUCCUGGUCGGACAUCAGGAGGUUAGUGCAAUGGCAUAAGCCAGCUUGACUGCGAGCGUGACGGCGCGAGCAGGUGCGAAAGCAGGUCAUAGUGAUCCGGUGGUUCUGAAUGGAAGGGCCAUCGCUCAACGGAUAAAAGGUACUCCGGGGAUAACAGGCUGAUACCGCCCAAGAGUUCAUAUCGACGGCGGUGUUUGGCACCUCGAUGUCGGCUCAUCACAUCCUGGGGCUGAAGUAGGUCCCAAGGGUAUGGCUGUUCGCCAUUUAAAGUGGUACGCGAGCUGGGUUUAGAACGUCGUGAGACAGUUCGGUCCCUAUCUGCCGUGGGCGCUGGAAGACUGAGGGGGGCUGCUCCUAGUACGAGAGGACCGGAGUGGACGCAUCACUGGUGUUCGGGUUGUCAUGCCAAUGGCACUGCCCGGUAGCUAAAUGCGGAAAAGAUAAGUGCUGAAAGCAUCUAAGCACGAAACUUGCCCCGAGAUGAGUCUUCCCUGAGACUUUGAGUCUCCUGAAGGAACGUUAAAGACGAUGACGUUGAUAGGCCGGGUGUGUAAGCGCAGCGAUGCGUUGAGCUAACCGGUACUAAUGAACCGUGAGG
RNAcentral lists this ribosomal RNA (1383 nucleotides) under Salmonella enterica subsp. diarizonae. RNAcentral describes it as "partial 23S ribosomal RNA". It matches the Rfam family "Bacterial large subunit ribosomal RNA", at positions 1557 to 2916 of the family's 2925-position model. The record is from RNAcentral. Lineage: Bacteria; Pseudomonadati; Pseudomonadota; Gammaproteobacteria; Enterobacterales; Enterobacteriaceae. RNAcentral also lists the same sequence under 1 other name.